AGCGAACGCUGGCGGCAGGCUUAACACAUGCAAGUCGAGCGGGCAUAGCAAUAUGUCAGCGGCAGACGGGUGAGUAACGCGUGGGAACGUACCUUUUGGUUCGGAACAACUGAGGGAAACUUCAGCUAAUACCGGAUAAGCCCUUACGGGGAAAGAUUUAUCGCCGAAAGAUCGGCCCGCGUCUGAUUAGCUAGUUGGUGAGGUAAUGGCUCACCAAGGCGACGAUCAGUAGCUGGUCUGAGAGGAUGAUCAGCCACCUUGGGACUGAGACGCGGCCCAAACUCCUACGGGAGGCAGCAGUGGGGAAUAUUGGACAAUGGGCGCAAGCCUGAUCCAGCCAUGCCGCGUGAGUGAUGAAGGCCCUAGGGUUGUAAAGCUCUUUUGUGCGGGAAGAUAAUGACGGUACCGCAAGAAUAAGCCCCGGCUAACUUCGUGCCAGCAGCCGCGGUAA
Molecule: ribosomal RNA, 451 nt
Filed under: uncultured bacterium
Lineage: Bacteria
Description: partial 16S ribosomal RNA
Rfam family: Bacterial small subunit ribosomal RNA
Source: RNAcentral